GAUGAACGCUGGCGGCGUGCCUAAUACAUGCAAGUCGAGCGAACGGACGAGAAGCUUGCUUCUCUGAUGUUAGCGGCGGACGGGUGAGUAACACGUGGAUAACCUACCUAUAAGACUGGGAUAACUUCGGGAAACCGGAGCUAAUACCGGAUAAUAUUUUGAACCGCAUGGUUCAAAAGUGAAAGACGGUCUUGCUGUCACUUAUAGAUGGAUCCGCGCUGCAUUAGCUAGUUGGUAAGGUAACGGCUUACCAAGGCAACGAUGCAUAGCCGACCUGAGAGGGUGAUCGGCCACACUGGAACUGAGACACGGUCCAGACUCCUACGGGAGGCAGCAGUAGGGAAUCUUACGCAAUGGGCGAAAGCCAGACGGAGCAACGCCGCGUGAGUGAUGAAGGUCUUCGGAUCGUAAAACUCUGUUAUUAGGGAAGAACAUAUGUGUAAGUAACUGUGCACAUCUUGACGGUACCUAAUCAGAAAGCCACGGCUAACUACGUG
Molecule: ribosomal RNA, 497 nt
Filed under: uncultured bacterium
Lineage: Bacteria
Description: partial 16S ribosomal RNA
Rfam family: Bacterial small subunit ribosomal RNA
Source: RNAcentral